GAUGAACGCUGGCGGCGUGCCUAAUACAUGCAAGUCGAGCGAACAGACGAGGAGCUUGCUCCUCUGACGUUAGCGGCGGACGGGUGAGUAACACGUGGAUAACCUACCUAUAAGACUGGGAUAACUUCGGGAAACCGGAGCUAAUACCGGAUAAUAUAUUGAACCGCAUGGUUCAAUAGUGAAAGACGGUUUUGCUGUCACUUAUAGAUGGAUCCGCGCCGCAUUAGCUAGUUGGUAAGGUAACAGCUUACCAAGGCAACGAUGCGUAGCCGACCUGAGAGGGUGAUCGGCCACACUGGAACUGAGACACGGUCCAGACUCCUACGGGAGGCAGCAGUAGGGAAUGUGCCGCAAUGGGCGAAAGCCUGACGGAGCAACGACGCGUGAGUGACGAAGGUCUUCGGAUCGUAAAACGCUGUUAUUAGGGAAGAACAAAUGUGUAAGUAACUAUGCACGUCUUGACGGUACCUAAUCAGAAAGCCACGGCUAACUACGU
This 496-nucleotide ribosomal RNA is filed under the name uncultured bacterium. RNAcentral describes it as "partial 16S ribosomal RNA". It matches the Rfam family "Bacterial small subunit ribosomal RNA", at positions 28 to 506 of the family's 1533-position model. The record is from RNAcentral.